AUUAUUUAACUAAAACUUUGAAUCAUUUGAAGAAACAAUUGAUUAGUAUAUGAAAACUAACAAACCUUGACCUAUAAGAUGACAAACGGAAUUAAUCUAAACUAACAAUCCCAAACACAUACUAGAUUAUGACCCUUCAUAAUACUGGCUGAUAUUCUCCAUAUUUCCAUAUGCAAUUGGAGAAGACCCAACAGUCCUUUUCAAAAGAGUACCAAAGCCUCAAACACAAGGUCAAUUAGACCCCGACUCAACAGAAAGAAAAAGAGCAAACGAGUUGAUUCUUUCAUGACUUCACUUUGAACCAUUACACAGAUUUAAAACCUAAAGAAUGAAUGACUUAAGUAUUUGUUACUGAAUAACUUCACAGGCCAGGGAUCAACAUAUCCGAUUUGCACAUAACAAGAAAGAGGUAGAAAGGAAGAAUGAAGAGGGAACUAAAUAGCUUAAAAGACAUAUGAAAACUAAAAUCCAAACAAAAGUUCUUUAUUAACUUCUACAGAAACAACCUUCUCAUAAGCACAUUCAAGCCCCAUUUAUCAAUCAAGGUUCGAAUGAGUACCUGGAAUAAUAAGAGAUAAAUAGGGAACUUCAGCAAUAAAAUAGCAAUAACAGCAACUCUUAAACAGCAGUAACCAACAAAUGUCAACCAGCUGAAACCAUCUUUUGAGCCCAGAAGGAGAGUAAUGCAUUCAAACUUUUUAAAAAAUCCUAAAAUAUGAUGAUCAACUCAAUAGACAGUGACUACAGACCCCUUUUUUGUUCUUCUUUUUAAUUUUUCAAGCUCUAUUAGUGAGUGUAGGUUCUUCAGCCGUUUAUGAAUUCUUCAUGUUCUAAUCCCUACUCAUUUCACUGAAAGCAUUCCUUAUAUAGAUAAAUUUAGGGCAGCAGAAAUGAUUCUAUCAUUUUAACAAUCACUCCUUCCCCAAUUUUUAUUUUUUCACUUUUAACCCUGAAAUUUAAAACUAAUUACUGAACUAACCCAAAUCCCUCUUUCCUAGAAGUUUCCCAUUCAGUUUUAAGAAGAUUCUCUUAAUUAAAUUCCCCCAAAUACCCUUGAACCCCCUAUUAUUUACUUCAAGACCAAACAUGGGUCAAGUUGACCCAACAAACAAACCAAAACCCUGGGCUCAACGACCUGAAUGGACCCUUCCCUCUUUGGGCUUCUGACUGACAAAACCCAAGUUUAUUUCAAAGGUCAAACCCACGCGAAAAUAAAUCCGAAGCCAUGAAUCCGAAGAAAACAAAAACAGAAAGAAAUUUAAGCAAAAUUAAAUAAACUAAAAACGUGCUGACUAAGAAUAAUUUAGAAUUAGCAUGCACACAAGUCUAUUGAAAAACAGAGAAAACAAGAAAGAAAAAGCAAAAAAUCAGAAGGAGAUGAGGAUGAGAACAAAGCGAGGGAUGAAAGAAAGAAAAAUGGUCGGAAAAUACCUAGAAUAGGCGGAUUGAAAGUGGCUUGACUGGACCUUCAAACCCUCUAUUUUGAGCCGAAAUUGGCCUUAAUCGUAUGUUCUCGUUGACAAUAGACGAGUAACACCAAUUUUAACCCCAAUCGUUCAAGGAAAACUCGAAGAUUUAGAAAAUUUUUGUUUUCCUUCUUUUUUUUUAGAUCCGGAACUGGAUCUAUUUGGUGAGGAGUUGAGAAGAUAUGGUAGUGGAUUGGGACUAAGGGGUGAGUGGGGGUUGUAUGGUCGAAGUUUGGGGUUGAUUGGGCUCCGCCGCCAGCUGGUGGAGGCUCAGGAGUUUGGAGGCGGCGGGAUAGGGUUCUUUGAACUUGGGGGAGAUGAAGUGAAUUAAAG
Molecule: long non-coding RNA, 1799 nt
Filed under: Nicotiana tabacum (common tobacco)
Lineage: Eukaryota; Viridiplantae; Streptophyta; Magnoliopsida; Solanales; Solanaceae
Description: long non-coding RNA (NTAB_LNC009560)
Source: RNAcentral